RNAcentral lists this ribosomal RNA (592 nucleotides) under Bacillus paralicheniformis. Its description in RNAcentral is "bacterial SSU rRNA". It matches the Rfam family "Bacterial small subunit ribosomal RNA", at positions 68 to 640 of the family's 1533-position model. Lineage: Bacteria; Bacillati; Bacillota; Bacilli; Caryophanales; Bacillaceae. The record is from RNAcentral.
AACAGAUGGGGAGCUUGCUCCCUGAUGUCAGCGGCGGACGCGGUGAGUAACACGUGGGUAACCUGCCUGUAAGACUGGGAUAACUCCGGGAAACCGGGGCUAAUACCGGAUGCUUGAUUGAACCGCAUGGUUCAAUUAUAAAAGGUGGCUUUUAGCUACCACUUACAGAUGGACCCGCGGCGCAUUAGCUAGUUGGUGAGGUAACGGCUCACCAAGGCAACGAUGCGUAGCCGACCUGAGAGGGUGAUCGGCCACACUGGGACUGAGACACGGCCCAGACUCCUACGGGAGGCAGCAGUAGGGAAUCUUCCGCAAUGGACGAAAGUCUGACGGAGCAACGCCGCGUGAGUGAUGAAGGUUUUCGGAUCGUAAAACUCUGUUGUUAGGGAAGAACAAGUACCGUUCGAAUAGGGCGGUACCUUGACGGUACCUAACCAGAAAGCCACGGCUAACUACGUGCCAGCAGCCGCGGUAAUACGUAGGUGGCAAGCGUUGUCCGGAAUUAUUGGGCGUAAAGCGCGCGCAGGCGGUUUCUUAAGUCUGAUGUGAAAGCCCCCGGCUCAACCGGGGAGGGUCAUUGGAAACUGGGGAA